Molecule: long non-coding RNA, 5368 nt
Organism: Parus major (Great Tit)
Lineage: Eukaryota; Metazoa; Chordata; Aves; Passeriformes; Paridae
Exons: 2
Source: RefSeq, a predicted model, not a curated record
GGAAGAGGCUGCCUGUCUGCCCCUCAUGAUCUGUGUAUUAUCUUAGUCCUCUGGUGACUCUGGCUUUGUACAGAUAUUCUGGACUUUGCAGUCCUAAGCCUCUGCUCUCUGCUGCAGUGUCCCAUGGGGAGGCAGGGCACAGGGUAGGGCGCUCACAUUUUCUGGUGUCACAGAUGCUCCCAUGGCAGCCACCUCAGCCCCGCUGCUGGAGUCUGGAGCUCUGCAGCUGAGCACCCACAGCUCCCCUGCACCACCCUCCUUGCUCCUGCUUCCCCAGGAGCCAAGCUGACACCCUCCUGGGAUAUAUUCUGUGGUCAUAUUUUCGGGUUUAGAGAUCAGAAAUUCCCCAGAAUCAAUGCACUUAGGAGCAUGCAGAAGCUGAAACAUUCAGUCCCUCUGGAAGUCAGUAGGACAUUUCACACUGGUGAGUACUUCCCUGGACUGGUCUCAGCCUGAGCAUGAACUUUGCUAUUUCUCUUACAACAAGAUUAACUAAGAUUGAAUGAAAGUGGAAACAGAUAAAACUUUCCUUUUAAAGAAGCUGAAAAUAAAGACAAAUAUUUCCCUGAAGAUUUACCAGCAGUAAGGUUGGAUAAACUGUUGUAAAAAUAUGUGAGACCUGUUUCCACAGAGGUUUCCUACCUGUUUUAAGCAGCAAACUUCAGCUGAUAUUUUUUUGUAUGCACAGAACUGCACUACAUGUUGCAGUUGGGUUUUACAGGAUGUAAAAAUCCAGAGGCAAAUGACAAAAUAAUAACUGUCCAAACUAAGAGAAAUUAAUUUAGCUGAUCUUAACUUAACAUGCAUAGGCAAGAUGGGGUUUGUUCUAUUAUUAUCUCAUGCCAGGAAAACUCCAAAGACUUGAGAGAAGAGACUUAUCCUGUGAAACACCUGAUAAAUGCAUUGCACCUCAGGGCAUUUUUUUAGGUCUUUGAAGUCGCAUCAGCCUGGUUUGUGUGAAAUGCAGUAAAGAUGGGCACUGUUGGGCAGUGUUAGCUAUUCUGUGUUUCAUUGCUCAGAACAGCUUUCCUUUUCCAAUGCUGACUGUGACUGAAGCCAACCUGCUGCUAUGAAAGGCUAAAUUGCCUCUUUGAGGGCCCUCUGGCAGACACAGCAUGUGAAAAGAGCAUCCAGGCAUUUUGGUUACUCACUGUUAUACCACAAGAAUGUUGAAGAGUUUCCAGUUUGGAAAGUACAGCACCAAUUCCACACCCUCUGAACAGGUUAAAGGAGGACAUUAAUGCUGGACUGUUUAUUUUCCUCAAAGACUGCCUGUCUCUGAUCUUCACUGGUACCCACUAUGGACAGAACUUGGAGGAAGAUUGCCAAAAUCUGUGUUGCUGAAUGUGUGGUAGAUAGAAAGGCCAUGCUUGAAUGAAUGAUCAGUCUGAGGCAGGUGCCUUCAGAUGGACGAGUGAGACUCUGCUUGUCACCUGAAGCCUUUAGAAGAAAGAACCAUUGGAUGUUAUUCAGCUCCAAAAAGAGCAAUCCAGAGCAUCUCAGGACUUGCUGUGAAUGUUUGGUAAGUCUCAGCAGUAAAUAGAUGCAUCUGGCAAGAUCACCAGACAUUUCUCUUUUCAGCUGCACAUGGGCUCUGUCAGAUCCUAUGGCUUCAGUGAGAUCUCUGAGAAAGCAAACCUACCUCAAAUAAAAGCUCAUAGGUUUUGAUCUGUCAAAACCAUGACAAUUUAAAUUGGCAUAUUUCACACAGCCCUGGUAUUUUCCUUCCUCCUGACUGCAGUUUUUAUCAUUUGGGGUACCAUUUGCUCAAUUUAUUACAACGUGCUCCUGAUUUCAUUCUCCCACUUUGCAGCCCUGGUGCAUUUUCUUCCCGAGAAGGAUCACAAUAUAAAUCACUAGGUCAGAGAAUAAUGAGUUUAGUAUUUUUUAAAAGCCUCCCACUGUAAUUCAGGAUAUCGACUCAUGAUUCAGCAGGUGAUGGGAUAUAAUAAGGGGACAUUUUUUCCUUUAAUUGCUGUUGAAAAUGGAAAAAGGGCAAGAGAAAGACUAAGUUUUCUGAGACAAGGAUUUCAGCUUCACCGGGCUUUAGUUCACUAGAAUCACCUAAUAUGCUUGAGCAUAAAGAGCUGGACAAAGCUAAAAGGAAAAAUAAACUGAUGAAAGUCUCCAGCAGGACUUUCUCCUCCUAGUCUGAAAAAUAGAUUAAAUAUGAUUAUAGCAUUAGGUAAAUAGACAGUGAGAAAAGGCUGACCUCAUGGUCUGUGAGCUGAAUGGAAUGGAGGAUCUCCUGGUUUCCAGCCCUAUCUCUUCCAGACCUGUUUGCUCAUGACAGCAGGGGUGAGUGUUCUAAGAAUCACAAACACAAAGGCCAGGAGGGACCAUUAGAGUUAUCUCACUGAACUGUUGCAAACCCAGUUUUGAGGUAUUUUUGCCCAGUACUUUCUGCACUGAGCCAGUUGAGUAUGGUGAGGGUGAUCAAGGACACAUUUGUGGGAAGCAAAUGGGCUGACAGGGGCAAUGGGUGGGUUGUGGAUUUUUUCUCAGAUUAAAAGUUGGUUGAAGUGGUAUCAUAGGCUCUAAGGAAAGCACUAGAACCUCUCUCAGAAACAAUAUGCAGACAACAAUCCUGCCACCAGCACCUCGUGUCUCCCUGAGAGGGGAACUCUGAGUUCCUGCACAGCCCUCAGUGGGAACAGAAUCAUCACAUUUAACAAACUCAUUCCAGCCUGUGGCUGCUGCCAGGUCCAUCCCUGGCCCAACAGGGCCUGUGUCAGUGCCACCUCCAGCUGCUGACCCUGCAGCCACCCAAAAAGAUGUCAAGAUUUGACAAAGAUUCUUGCAGGUAGAUUUUGUCAUUACUAACUCUUUCACUGUACUAGAGAGGGAAAUCAACCUGAUGAUUCUUAAAUUAUUAUAAUGAAAUUAUUUUUCGAGUAUUUCCAUUCCUUUAAAUCAAACUUAAUGCAUAUCACACUGCCAAAAGGGCAUUGUGUGUCAGGUGGGGUAGUCUCAGAAAUAAAAAUGUUUUGACUGACAAAAAGUAACAUAUUAAAACAUCCAUGCACAGAUGUUAAAACAUCUGAAGGAGUUGAGUGGCCAUUUCUCUGGUGAAAUCAUGCUAAAUUGUUGUAACCCACAGCAGAUUUACAUAAUAUGUUGUUUAUUGUAUAUAAAUUCAAGGAAUUCCCCUAUUCAAAUAAGUAUUAGAUAUACUCAAAAAACUCCUCUGUUACCAACCACUUUAUAGAAGUGGCUUUAUUCCUUGAAAUAAACAAAAACACACCAAAACACCCCCAAAUCUAAACCAUGCACAACAACCUUCAUAGAGAAGUUCAGCUAGGCAUACAGAAAUUAAAACUCAAGAACAAAGAAAGUAUUUUUCCUGUUUGUUUCCCCUGGCCCUCUGCUUUCCCCUCACUCCCUCCUGCCUGCAGCUUUCUUAUCUGUAGCUCAUUCUUUCUCUCUUCUAUUUGACCUGGGGUCAAAUGUAUCUUUGUUACCAUUAUAUCCUUCAGUAUUUUGCAUUUCUCUGUGAAGUCUUCACCCAGUUUGCUCUUUACUAAAGAUUAAAGAAGGACUUUUUUCAUGCUGUUUUGAGGAACAGGAGCGUGAAUUUCUGCAAAUGCCUCUAGUACAUUCCUGUGCCAGUCUCGCUCUCUGUGCCUUCUCCACUUCCAGGAGGAAAAACUGCCAGAAACUGCCCCUGGAGUUUCUGUCCCUCUGUACACUGAGGGACAUGAGCACAUUUGCAGAAUUAAUGGGCUGUGAUGACAUCCCAGUGACCCUGAGAAAGUUGCUGAUAUACUCAGAGACAACAGAGCGGGAUGACAGACAAGAUACCUGAAAUACCUGAAUCCUGGUCUGGCGCUUCCUGAUCUGCAGCAAUGCUCAGUUCAGAAAGGAACUCACAUCACCCAAUCUGCACCUUCCCCUCCCACCUGAGCAGAAGGGGAAUGCUGAUGUGAAUCUCAUGUCUGCAGCAGGAAGCACAAGAAGAGCUGAGAUGCAAGAGCAGUGCUUGUGGCAGGAUGUGCAGAACCCUUCAUACUGUGAGCGAAAGCAAGAGAAGAAGAGCAGCCCUUUGAAAUCUUCCCACCCAUUCUGUCUCUCAGAAACAUAUUGCAUGGAGAUGUAGAGAGAUCCAAAUGCAAUUACUUUCACCAUCAGGAAGAAGAGAAAAGCCAUGUCAGUAGAGCAGCACAUUUUAUCACCACCCUGUCUCCAGGUCCUACCAAGGCUUGGAUAUGCAGUCCUGCGCAGUCAGAAUUAAGGGGGGCUUGCAAUCUCAAGCAAGGCUGUAGGCACACCAGAGAAUUGAGAUUCAUGUGGCUGCAAGCACCUUGGAAAGGCUUCACAAAGCUAUGAAUCAACCAUAGGCCACUUUCAGGGUCAUCCUGAUUAUAGAAGAGAUAAAUGCUGGGUCACUUGUCAGAGCAGCAAGGGCAGCAGCUGUGCCAAAAGCUUUGCUGAGCUUGUGCAAACCUGGACACAGCUGCAGUGAGAAGGUGUAAGGGAAAAAUCCAGUGAUGUGGCCAUGAACUGACAGCAGCUGGGGCUACCUUCAUGGAAAAACAUUUUCUCCAGUUCCUGUUUUAUCUCAUAAAUUGCUCACAACUUUAAAUAAUUCCAGUAAAAUUAUUAGUAUAUUUCAGUGUAAUCUGAAAGCUUUUUUGUGAUUUAGGAUUUACCUUGAAUUUACAUGAAAAUCCAGAGUUUGGCUCUCAAUUGGCCUCCUCCUUCAUUGACACACUCUCAGAAUGGCUGGGGCUUUGCUAACCAGGACAGUGGGAAUUUAGGGCACCAGCAUGGCUGGUGAAACCAGAAGAGGGUUGACCUGGCCUUGGACAAGGUAUAUUUUCAUCUCUGUGAAGUCCUUUGGAACUGGAAUAACCUGGUGAAACAGAAUCUCUCUCAUUUGUGCCAGCCAUGACCAGGUUCUGAUGCCCAAUUCUCCUCCCUGAGCACAUUGGGAUAAAGCUGAUUUUCUUCCUAGUUGCUAGUGUAGAGCUGUGCUUUUAGAUGCAUGACCAAAACAGAGUGAUGGUUUUUUGACUGCAGAGCAAAGCUUAGACAGAGCCAAGGCCUUUUCUUCUCCUCACCCCACCCCACCAGUGAGGAGGAUGAAGGUGCACAAGGAAUUGGGAGGGGACACAGCAGGGACAGCUGACCCAGGGGAUAUCCCACAUCAUAUGGCAUCAUGCUCAGCACAUAGCACUGGGGAAGAAGAAGAAGGGGGGGGAUGUUCAAAGUGAUGGUGUUUGUCUUCUCCAGCAAGGUGUGAUGGAUCCCUGCUAUCCUGGGAUGGCUGAACACCUGCCUGCCCAGGGGAAGUGGUGAAUAAAUUCCUUGUUUUGCUCUGCCUGCAUGUGCAGCUUAUGUUUUACCUAUUAAACUGUCUUUAUCUCAA